AUUGAACGCUGGCGGCAUGCUUUACACAUGCAAGUCGGACGAGUGGCGAACGGGUGAGUAAUAUAUUGGAAAGUACCGAGUAGUGGGGGAUAACCAAUCGAAAGAUUGGCUAAUACCGCAUAUUAUUCAGGCGGCCAGUAUCUGAUUAGCUAGGUGGUGGGGUAACGGCCUACAAGGGCGACGAUCAGUAGCGGGUCUGAGAGGAUGAUGCGCCACACUGGAACUGAGACACGACCCAGACUCCUACGGGAGGCAGCAGUGGGAAAUUUUGGACAAUGGGCGCAAGCCUGAUCCAGCCAUGCCGCGUGUCUGAAGAAGGCCUUCGGGUUGUAAAGGACUUUUGUUAGGGAAGCGGUACCUAAAGAAUAAGCACCGGCUAACUACGUGCCAGCAGCCGCGGUAAUUC
RNAcentral lists this ribosomal RNA (406 nucleotides) under uncultured bacterium. Its description in RNAcentral is "partial 16S ribosomal RNA". It matches the Rfam family "Bacterial small subunit ribosomal RNA", at positions 30 to 526 of the family's 1533-position model. The record is from RNAcentral.